This is a long non-coding RNA of Scylla paramamosain (green mud crab), 479 nucleotides long. RefSeq lists it as uncharacterized. The transcript has 3 exons. The record is from RefSeq and is a predicted model, not a curated record. NCBI's taxonomy places the organism in Eukaryota, Metazoa, Arthropoda, Malacostraca, Decapoda, Portunidae.
CGAUCACUGAAAUGUUUCACUGCAUGACUCGAAGCUUCGUGGUGUUGCAGUGAUGUGUGGUUCGAUGACUCACAAGGCCUCAGUCAGAGCUGUGUUCAGACUCACUGUAAGGCUACUACGCAGUUUCCGUGGAGGAGUCCCAGAGUCACGUAGCCGCCCCAUCACCCAGCAGCAGCAAGGUGUGGCCCACUCCACCUGAUGCCCCUUCCUCCCCAUCACCACUCCUCCCCACACUCCCUGUAAUCCCUCUCACAGUAAAGGGAAGACCAAAAAUCUCCAUCCCUCUCCUAUUGGAAUUUCCCUAUUGCUGCUGCUGCUGCUCCUGCUCCUGCUCCCCCAAGACUGUGAUACUGCUGAACCAUUUAUCCUAAUAAAUUUGUUCCUUGUGUUUGUUUCUUAUGUGUCAGACUUGUGGUCUUGAAGUGUUGCAAGUCACAAGCUUGUAAUGUUCAAGAGUUCUAAGGACUCCCAACCAUAGU